GUCUUCUGAGGCCCGAGCUUGGGGCAGGGGUUUCUUGACCCUGCAUUGGCAGUGUGGUCAGUGGUGUAUGACUGUGUGUUGAUGUCUGAGUGUGGCCAUAAAUGUGUGAAGGUCAGCUCUGCCAAGUCACAGGGCUCGUUAGGUUCUGAAUUAAAGUUGCUUCUUGGUUUAUAUCUCCACUGUUGUCUGGUUUCAUGUCUGGCCUGCUGUUUGUACUCAUCAGAAUUUUCAUCUUAAAAAAGGAAGACCCUGUUCCCAAUGGCCUCCGGGCACUCCCAGUAUUCUAUGCUGCUACCAUAGCAAUCAAUGUCUUUUCCAUCAUGUACACAGGAGCACCAGUGCUCGGCCUCGUUCUCCCUAUGUGGGCCAUAGCCCUCAUUUCCUUUGGUGUCGCCCUCCUGUUCGCUUUUUUUGUGUGGCUCUUCGUGUGUCCGUGGAUGCGGAGGAAAAUAACAGGCAAAUUACAAAAAGAAGGUGCUUUAUCACGAGUAUCUGACGAAAGCCUCAGUAAAGUUCAGGAAGCAGAGUCCCCAGUAUUUAAAGAGCUACCAGGUGCCAAGGCUAAUGAUGACAGCACCAUCCCGCUCACGGGAGCGGCAGGGGAGACGUCGGGGACCUCGGAAGGCACUUCUGCAGGCAGCCACCCUCGGGCUGCAUACGGAAGAGCACUGUCCAUGACCCAUGGCUCUGUGAAAUCGCCCAUCUCCAACGGCACCUUUGGCUUCGACGGCCACACCAGGAGUGACGGUCAUGUGUACCACAC
This 763-nucleotide small RNA is filed under the name Pongo abelii (Sumatran orangutan). Its description in RNAcentral is "processed transcript". Lineage: Eukaryota; Metazoa; Chordata; Mammalia; Primates; Hominidae. The record is from RNAcentral.